RNAcentral lists this ribosomal RNA (253 nucleotides) under uncultured bacterium. Its description in RNAcentral is "partial 16S ribosomal RNA". It matches the Rfam family "Bacterial small subunit ribosomal RNA", at positions 524 to 776 of the family's 1533-position model. The record is from RNAcentral.
UACGUAGGGUGCAGGCGUUACUCGGAAUUACUGGGCGUAAAGCGUGCGCAGGCGGUUUCUUAAGUCAGAUGUGAAAGCCCCGGGCUUAACCUGGGAACUGCGUUUGAAACUGGGAGACUCGAGUGUGGCAGAGGGGGGUGGAAUUCCACGUGUAGCAGUGAAAUGCGUAGAUAUGUGGAGGAACACCAAUUGCGAAGGCAGCUCGCUGGGACGUAACUGACGCUGAGACGCGAAAGCGUGGGGAGCAAACAGG